RNAcentral lists this ribosomal RNA (592 nucleotides) under uncultured bacterium. RNAcentral's name for it is "bacterial SSU rRNA". It matches the Rfam family "Bacterial small subunit ribosomal RNA", at positions 253 to 842 of the family's 1533-position model. The record is from RNAcentral.
CGGUGUAACGGACCACCAAGACGACGAUGCGUAGGGGUUCUGAGAGGAAGGUCCCCCACACUGGUACUGAGACACGGACCAGACUCCUACGGGAGGCAGCAGUGAGGAAUAUUGGUCAAUGGGCGGGAGCCUGAACCAGCCAAGUCGCGUGAGGAAUGACGGCCCUAUGGGUUGUAAACCUCUUUUGCCGGGGAGCAAAGUGCCGCACGUGUGCGGUUUGGAGAGUACCCGGAGAAAAAGCAUCGGCUAACUCCGUGCCAGCAGCCGCGGUAAUACGGAGGAUGCGAGCGUUAUCCGGAUUUAUUGGGUUUAAAGGGUGCGUAGGCGGACGCUUAAGUCAGCGGUAAAAUUGCGGGGCUCAACCUCGUCGAGCCGUUGAAACUGGGUGCCUUGAGUGGGCGAGAAGUACGCGGAAUGCGUGGUGUAGCGGUGAAAUGCAUAGAUAUCACGCAGAACUCCGAUUGCGAAGGCAGCGUACCGGCGCCCAACUGACGCUGAAGCACGAAGGCGUGGGUAUCGAACAGGAUUAGAUACCCUGGUAGUCCACGCAGUAAACGAUGAAUGCUAGUUGUCCGGGGCGAUUGAGUUCUGG